Molecule: small nuclear RNA, 159 nt
Organism: Hippoglossus stenolepis (Pacific halibut)
Lineage: Eukaryota; Metazoa; Chordata; Actinopteri; Pleuronectiformes; Pleuronectidae
Product: U1 spliceosomal RNA
Exons: 1
Source: RefSeq, a predicted model, not a curated record
CCACUUACCUUGCAGGGAGAUACCAUGAUCAUGAAGGUGGUUCACCCAGGGCGCAGGCUCAGCCAUUGCACUCUCAGUUGUGUUGACCUGCAAGCACUCCCCAAAAUGUGGAACCUCACUGCAUAAUUUGUGGUGGUGGGGACUGCGCCCGCCUCCCCU